Molecule: ribosomal RNA, 130 nt
Filed under: uncultured bacterium
Lineage: Bacteria
Description: partial 16S ribosomal RNA
Rfam family: Bacterial small subunit ribosomal RNA
Source: RNAcentral
GGGAAUAUUGCACAAUGGGGGAAACCCUGAUGCAGCGACGCCGCGUGAGUGAAGAAGUAUUUCGGUAUGUAAAGCUCUAUCAGCAGGGAAGAAAAUGACGGUACCUGACUAAGAAGCCCCGGCUAACUAC